Molecule: ribosomal RNA, 398 nt
Filed under: uncultured bacterium
Lineage: Bacteria
Description: bacterial SSU rRNA
Rfam family: Bacterial small subunit ribosomal RNA
Source: RNAcentral
AUUGAACGCCGGCGGCAUGCCUUACACAUGCAAGUCGAACGGUAACGGGCCUUCGGGUGCCGACGAGUGGCGAACGGGUGAGUAAUGCAUCGGAACGUACCUUUCAGUGGGGGAUAACGUAGCGAAAGUUACGCUAAUACCGCAUAUUCUGUGAGCAGGAAAGCAGGGGAUCGCAAGACCUUGCGCUGAUUGAGCGGCCGAUGUCAGAUUAGCUAGUUGGUGAGGUAAAGGCUCACCAAGGCGACGAUCUGUAGCGGGUCUGAGAGGAUGAUCCGCCACACCUGGAACUGAGACACGGUCCAGACUCCUACGGGAGGCAGCAGUGGGGAAUUUUGGACAAAUGGGGGGCAACCCUGAUCCAGCCAUGCCGCGUGAGUGAAGAAGGCCUUCGGUGUAAG